UACAGAGGGUGCAAGCGUUGUCCGGAUUUAUUGGGCGUAAAGAGUUCGUAGGCGGUUUGUUAAGUCUGGUGUUAAAGAUCAGGGCUCAACCCUGGGAUUGCCUUGGAUACUGGCAGACUGGAGUGCGGUAGAGGUAAGUGGAAUUUCUGGUGUAGCGGUGAAAUGCGUAGAUAUCAGAAAGAACACCGGUGGCGUAGGCGACUUACUGGGCCGUAACUGACGCUGAGGAACGAAAGCCAGGGGAGCGAAUGGG
This 253-nucleotide ribosomal RNA is filed under the name uncultured bacterium. RNAcentral describes it as "partial 16S ribosomal RNA". It matches the Rfam family "Bacterial small subunit ribosomal RNA", at positions 524 to 776 of the family's 1533-position model. The record is from RNAcentral.